GACGAACGCUGGCGGCGUGCUUAACACAUGCAAGUCGAACGGAAAGGCCCUGCUUGCAGGGUAUUCGAGUGGCGAACGGGUGAGUAACACGUGGGUGAUCUGCCCUGUACUUUGGGAUAAGCCUGGGAAACUGGGUCUAUUACCGGAUAGGAGCCAUUUUUAGUGUGAUGGUUGGAAAGUUUUUUCGGUGUAGGAUGAGCUCGCGGCCUAUCAGCUUGUUGGUGGGGUAAUGGCCUACCAAGGCGGCGACGGGUAGCCGGCCUGGGAGGGUGGACGGCCACCUUGGGACCGAGAUGCGGCCCAAGCGCCGACGGGAGGCAGCAGGGGGGAAGAUUGCACCAUGGGCGCAAGGCUGGUGCAGCGACGCCGCGUGGGGGAUGACGGCCUUCGGGUUGUAAAAUCCUUUCGGUAGGGACGAAGCUUUUUGUGACGGUACCUAGAUAAGAAGCACCGGCUAACUACGUG
Molecule: ribosomal RNA, 465 nt
Filed under: uncultured bacterium
Lineage: Bacteria
Description: partial 16S ribosomal RNA
Rfam family: Bacterial small subunit ribosomal RNA
Source: RNAcentral